CAGUAAAAAGGGAAAUACAGGAAAUAUAUUUUUUCCUGUAUACUAUAUGCUGUUUGCUGUCUACUGUGUUUUUGUGGUUAGUAUUGAUAGCUGGGUCCUGCGCAAUAGAAGGUUACAAACCCCGCCAGGUCCGGAAGGAAGCAACGGUAAGUAACAUAGCCUAUGUGCCGCAGGGGCGCCUAGCUAUCAAUAGCAACCAUAAAAAGCAGGAGACAGUAGAUAGUAGGCAGUAGACAG
RNAcentral lists this signal recognition particle RNA (237 nucleotides) under Deltaproteobacteria bacterium. Its description in RNAcentral is "signal recognition particle sRNA large type". It matches the Rfam family "Bacterial large signal recognition particle RNA". From Rfam's summary of the family: The signal recognition particle (SRP) is a universally conserved ribonucleoprotein involved in the co-translational targeting of proteins to membranes. Archaeal SRP consists of a 7S RNA and homologues of the eukaryotic SRP19 and SRP54 proteins. In most bacteria, the SRP consists of a 4.5S RNA and the Ffh protein (a homologue of the eukaryotic SRP54 protein). The record is from RNAcentral. Lineage: Bacteria; Pseudomonadati; Myxococcota; Myxococcia.